CAGGAUAAAAUAAUGAACCCCAUCAGAAAUGACUGUCUAUUCUAGGAUGAUGGAUUCCAUGGGAUACUCAGUCAUGCCACUGUAAAGGGAACCUAGUGUGUCCUCUCAUCACCUGCCACUGAUGACCUUCAUGGCACUUCUCCAGGCCUUUGCCAAGUGACCCCACUCUCACCAACCGUCAGAAGGAUGGAAAGCGGGCUGCACUGCAUGAUGUUCGGCUUAUGAGCAAGUCAGAACUCAUGGGAGUCUCAGUUUUAGCUUCCACCUAGGGCUGCUGGGAUUCCAGAAUACAAAAGACACCGUUUUCUAGGUUGAGGAUAUUUCUACUUUACUACGAUAAUAUGACUCUACAUGUCCAGAAAACCUCACCCACAUCUGCUCUCAAUAGGUAAGAUAAGUCCAUUUAUGAAA
Molecule: non-coding RNA, 411 nt
Organism: Macaca mulatta (Rhesus monkey)
Lineage: Eukaryota; Metazoa; Chordata; Mammalia; Primates; Cercopithecidae
Source: RefSeq, a predicted model, not a curated record